CACAAAAAAAAAAAUCAGGGCAAAGUGGAGUUGCACAGAGCAGCAAUUAUUUUAUCUGCAUGAAGUCUUUAUCCUUGUUCAGACUGAAUGGUCCUUUGCUUUUAUUACUGAAGUAAAAGAUUUCCAUUUAGCAUUAGAAAGCUCGAAGUACCAUGACUGAGAGCAGCCUUAGUAUGUUAAUUGAGAUGCUACAAAGCAGCAUGGAAAAACUGCAUGUAGCAGUUAUCUUUGUUGGGACUGUUCGUAGCUUGCCAGAGACUCAGAUACUCCUUCAGGGGAGAGGUACAGAUACGCAGUGGCACGAGACAAUGAUGUCCCAAUGCCUAUCCUCCUUCUCCUGAAAUGUCCUUCAGAUAGGCUAAUCACUUUAGGUAUGCUGAGGGAAAUUACAGCAUUGAAGGUGUGCAGCUGGAAUGUAAAGGGACUCUGAGGUUGAAAAGAAUCUUGAUGUUCGUUUUCUCUCCACUUAGACUAUUUCCAUUUGAAAGACGUAGAAGUUAGUGAGGGAUGGUCUAUACCAUUUAGAACAUUACAGUCCUCUAAGUCAUGGUUCUUAGCUCUUACUUUCGAUUUAAGAAGUAAUUUGGAAUAGUUAAACCACGUUCUUUUCUUCCUUAAGGUCAGUGUGAGAAUCCAACCAAUGCUUUCUCCACUGUUUUAAUAUAUCUGUCAGUGCGCCUAUUAAAAUAUUAUCAAAACAGGCUUGUUUUUCCACCUUAUUACCCUGUCUCUCAAAUAAGGAGGAUGGAAACCUGUUUUCAAGGAAUUUGCAGCCAAAUUCAAGUCUUGUCUGCUAUCUCUUGUGUCCCAUCGGGAGCAAAGAUAGGCAGACCUUUGAGACCGUGCUGUGCAUUGAUUCUUGCUCACUUUUUCUCAAACCCUUUCUUAAAAGGCAGACAUGGAUUGCAAUUGAAAUAAUGUAAUGUAUCACAGAAAUAUCAUAGAAACAUAGAAUGAGUUAGGUUGGAAGGGACUUCAAAGACUAUUUAGAUCCAGUUUUACCCACAAGCUCACAAUUCCAUCUUUUCUCAGAGGCAGCUCUUCCAAGUAACGAUCUAUCCACUUAAGGUAGGGGGCAAUGCUCCCUCUCUUCUCUGCUUAUUUCUUCUAUAAAGCUUGUACCCCUCAAUUGCAGUGUUUGUGUGAUAUGUCCCACCAGGUUUCCAUGAUAGCAAUUGCGGCAUAGUUUUCAAAUUGCACCGUGGCUUCCAUCUCCUGCUUAGUUCCCAUUCGUCCUGCAUUAGUGUAUAUGUUUAACAUGCUAGUUUCAUGGAGGUUUGCCUCCUUUAUAUGUUUUAUGAGAAGUUCCGUUAGCUAUCAAUACUAUUUUAUAUGCAGCUAGUAUUGCCUACUAAAUCAUGUCUCUAAAUACUAUGCCUACUCUUUCCUUAAAGAUCUCCAGGUCUGCAAUACUCUCAACAGGGUGUCAACUCCUUGUCCACAAAGUACCCCUUAAGCAACAAAAAUGUUCUUGGGCUGGAAAAAGCAAAAGAUCAGGAUGCCCCCUGGUCCUCACCUAUAACAACUCAAUGUUAUUAUUCCCAUACGGAGCCACCCUACUGCCCUUUCUUCCUUGCUUAUUCCUCCUAAAGAGUUUAUAGCCCUCUACUGCAGCACUUCAGUCAUGAGAAUGAUCCACCAUGUUUUGGUGAUGGCAAAUAAGUUACAGCUCUCCUGUCAGACCAUGGCUUCGAGAUUCUCCUGUUCGUUGCCUGUGUUGCACGUAAUGGUACAGAUGCACUACAUCCUGGGCUGUUAGUCUCCCAUUUGACCCUUAAGUGUUGCUUCUAGGCUCAUCUACAGUGAGCAUGAUUUUAUCCCCUUCCUACUUCAAACCGAAUUCAAAGCCCUGUCAAGCAGUCCCAACAACACCUGGGCCAGAAUCCUUUUUCCCUUUUCACCUAGGUGGACUUAAUCUGCUGCCAGCAGGCCUGGUGCUGAAUAAACUGCCUCAUGAUCAGGAAAAAAAAACAAAAAAAACAAACUCUCCAAUGACAAUAUCCUCUUAACCACUAGUUGGUCAAGUGGGUCUUCUUACUUUCUCAGUGUCUUUCCCUGCUCCAGAAGGUGGAGGAAAACACUGUCUGAACUCCCACUCCAUAAACUAACCACUCCAGUACCCUCAAGUCCCUCUUGAUAGCCCUCAGGCUUCUCCCCGCAGCCUCAUUGGGGCCUACCUGAAAUACAAGGAGCAGAGGGCCUUGUCUUGUAAAAGCAGGAAUGGAUAGUACUCGACUUGCUUUCCCAGGGAUGGUAAUCUUCUCUUGGUAUAUCAAAUGAAGGUUACCAGCAGGUGGAAAACCACCCUAGAGAGAUUAUCUGGAUGGCAAAUGAAUGCUUCAGUGCCCCUCUGUGCGGAGAGCUGGUCCUUGGUUGGACCAGCUUAACAUGGCUGUCACCAACACCCUUACCUUUUUCCAGCCCCAGAGCUCUCUGUUGCUUAGGGGGUACUUUGUGGACAAAGAGAGACUCCUACUCUGAGCAAAGAUGCAGGUCCAAUUUGCGGGCUUCUGUUGUCUGUCUCCUCAGGGCUGGAAGCUUUCUUAGCUUCGUUCACUCCCAGAGAGGUCUGUCUGUAUCAGCCCUGGAAGGGAAGGCUGUUCCUCCCAGUUCCGGUUUCCACCUCAGCUGGGGCGUUGCAGCAAGUACUCGCCCUGUUUGUUUCAAGAGAAAAGGUAGGCUGCCUGUCACCUUCCAUGCGGGCGAGCCUGCUGUGCUACUGCGCACUCGUUCCCUCUGUAGCAGCUUUUGGACUUGUGCUCCUGGCCCUGCCCGCACCUGCUCAGCUGCUCUCGUUAGCGCUGGGAGCUCGUGGAAGCUCUCUCCUUGCCUUGGGACGCCGCCUCCCCUGCAAAGCGCGGCCGCUCGCGCUGAUCGCUUCACAGCGAUCGUUACGCGGUUUAAAUUUCCCGCUUUUGCUACAUGUGGCCGCCAUGUGGUCCCUCGGCGGCUCGCAGCGGGCUGGCGGCUCCAGGCACUCUGCUCACCCUAGGGGCUCCUGGAUUUCAGGACUUCACCACAAACGCUGCAGUUUCUUCCUCUCCUGCAAGACGAGCCUGCGCCGGAGCUGAUCGCCUUAGCGUGUCGAUGUUCUUCACAAAUUCUGUGGGGCUGAGAGAAUCUAUCUGCAGUGAGAAGGGAAGAUGGCUAGUAAGUCUGAGGCUGAAAGCAAAGCCAGUGAGAAACACAUGGAGGCUGAAGAAUAUGCGCACUUGGCAGCAAUGCACUGUCUUGGAGGGCGUUUGCCUGCAUUCCCAAGGAGACUAAUUCAUCUUAGAUACAGUAUGUGUAACUUUUGGGAAGCCUGAACUGCUUCAGUGAUAAGUACGUGUCUACGCUUCUUGUGUCCUUUCACAAGUACCACGUUAAAAACAUCUUAUGAAUGUUGAAGCGCUGCUGAAGAUACUGAAAGCUUAGUCCAGAUGCCGAGACGUUACAUUCCUGAUGAUGAGAUCUGCCCACUAAAUACUCCUACAUUGCCUGCAAGACUCAAAAAUCAAGAUAACUGGGUUUUUUCUCCUGCGAAGAGGAUGUGAAAGGGAAGCCUCUGCUCAGAAAGUGCCCGUGAAUACUCAAGGCAAGCUGUAGCACUGUCUGUUCACGUAAUUAAAAUCAAACAGAAUUGUGAAUGUCCUACCAAAAGGAAUUGAUUCAUGGUAAUUAAAGGCAAUUGCCUUAUAGUUUUACAGUAGUAAUAUAAAAUCGAGACUACACCCACUCUUACGUGAAGCUAGCGUUAAUGAGAAACUCCAGUGAAGCUGAUCAUUGCCAUUCAUUGAUGAGACACAACAAAGAUAACACAGAACUCAAGGAGGCUAAUGUCUAUAGGUAAUUUGUUUUUUUUAUGGGGUGUAAUCAUCAAAUGAUACUGGUCAUUUUUCUAUUCGGGAACCCCAUAAUUAAUUUUUGUACGAACUGAAGCAUGAAGAUUGGUUCCACACUGCAUAUCGCAAAUAGCAUGUCAUGAGAAAUAUGGCUUCAUAGUCUAGUUGGAGUGUAAUUUAUUGUAGACAGUGAACAAUCCAGGUUGCCCUCGAUUUUUUAAAAAGGAUAAACUCAGGAACUGUAAGGAAAUAUUCGGUGUUGUCAAAUGGGCAGAAAAAUUCAUAGAAUUCUAUAUGAAGUGGCUUUAAGUCAAAGAUCGUGGUCAAACUUCUUGCAUUUUUCUUUGGCUAUUUCAGUGUGAACGGUUACCAUGUAAUAAUCAUGACAUUCCAUGUACAUUGAAUAAUUACUGUGACAAAGAUGUAAGGGUUAAUACAGAGAAACAAAGUGCCAGUAGAAAACUUAUCUGAGUACAAUUUUGAUAAAUAAUUAAUUCAGUUUAACUUUCAUUGUAUAGCUGAGAAUGGUUUUAAUCCAACGUCUAGGUUCAAUGAACCUCGUAGAGAUAGGCAAAUACAAAGCAUUUUGAGCCUGGAUUCAAGUUUGCACUUGUACAGUUUUAAUAUUUUAGUCUAUACCCUUGGCCAUGUACACAGCUACGGUUGACCCAUUUUUUAUACCAUAUUCCACAAAGAUAAAAUUCAUUUUGACUGCAGGGGCAGGGAACUACAGCAAGCAGUUACACAGAUAGGCAAUUUAGUCACUGAAUAACAGUUCUGCUAACCCAUGCAGAAAAGCAAUCAGAAGAUGCUCCUUUGGGCUGGUCCUGUUAUACAUCUCUGUUGAAGGGCACCGAACAAAUCAGUCCAAUUAUUAGUAGAUACUGUGGUUCUGAGCUGUGUCCUGAGCAUAACUUCAAAAGAAGAGAAAGCUUACAGGCAUAUGCAUAAAGAUUGAAGCAUUUUAACUUCCUAGCUAGGGUAGCUCAAGAGCAGGUGGUUACCUGUUUGUUUAUUGCAGCUACUUGAAAUUUAUAAGCCAAAUAACCUAACCUAUUAUGUAGCAGGAUACUGCAUAUGAAAGCCUAAAGCUAUGUAAAAUAACUCUGCCAUCCUAACACAGACAAAAUGGACAAUUUGAGAGUACUUAAUUCAUUUGAAAAAAAGCUGUGCGUAAUACUUUUGGAAUACAUGAAGCCAUUCAUACCUUAUGAGUGUGUAAACACUGAAGAGACCCUUUGCACAUGUUGAAAGUGGCAUUGAGUUAAGACUUCUCUGUACUUGUUUCUGCCUGCCUCACCCUAAGUGACCUAGGAAGAAGUGAACUUUUCCAUUAAAUUGCAAAUAUAUUUCAGAUAAAUAGGUUUUGAAGUAAGACCUAAUACCUAUCAGAUGAAAAGAUAACCUCGAGAUGCUUCGAUUUAUUUAUUUUUUUCAUGCAUGCAGAAACGUUAAUCCAUUUUUGGGAUUAGGAUUUUGGGGAUCUUGGGAUAUAAUGCAUAAAUGCAUUUUGACAAGAGACUGUUCCGUGGCUAAUUGUAAUCUUAGCGAUACUUAAGAGUAAAUGAGUGAGCACUCCUGCAGUUAACCAGCUGGAGUAAAUUAGCUGAGAAUAGUAAUUAAUUUGAUUGCUGAUUUAUCAGAGGUGCACAGUGACAUAGCUUUCUGCGUUUACUGUGGAGUUCCCCCAACUUUUAAUUAAAUCUACAUUCUGAAUGAAUCUACGUUUGUAAUAAAAUCUGCUUAAGGCAUCUGAUUUGGGAAAUAGAUUUCUACGUUCUGAUCCUCCUUAUUCUCAGUGAAGUGUUAUAUGGAAUAAAGAAAGAAAUGAGGCUAAUAAAAAAUAGUAGAUUUAUUUUCAGAUGUGCCCUCCUGUUUGAAGAGCAGAGAGUAAAGAAACAGAUGGUAUUUGUUCUGCAUCCUUUGCAAAUGCAGUAAUAAUAUCAUAAAGCUGAAUUAUUUGAAAAGUAUUAGUUUGAGAAAUCAGUGCCUCUGAAUAAUAUUUUUUAAAUUACUUUUUAUAAUGUGACAUUUCUCCCAGUGUCU
Non-coding RNA from Meleagris gallopavo (turkey), 5870 nucleotides. The record is from RefSeq and is a predicted model, not a curated record. Lineage: Eukaryota; Metazoa; Chordata; Aves; Galliformes; Phasianidae.